CCUACGGGUGGCAGCAGUCGAGAAUCAUUCACAAUGGGGGAAACCCUGAUGGUGCGACACCGCGUGGGGGAAUGAAGGUCUUCGGAUUGUAAACACCUGUCAUGUGGGAGCAAAUUAAAAAGAUAGUACCACAAGAGGAAGAGACGGCUAACUCUGUGCCAGCAGCCGCGGUAAUACAGAGGUCUCAAGCGUUGUUCGGAAUCACUGGGCGUAAGGCGUGCGUAGGCUGUUUCGUAAGUCGUGUGUGAAAGGCGCGGGCUCAACCCGCGGACGGCACAUGAUACUGCGAGACUAGAGUAAUGGAGGGGGAACCGGAAUUCUCGGUGUAGCAGUGAAAUGCGUAGAUAUCGAGAGGGACACUCGUGGCGAAGGCGGGUUCCUGGACAUUAACUGACGCUGAGGCACGAAGGCCAGGGGAGCGAAAGGGAUUAGAUACCCGGGUAGUC
RNAcentral lists this ribosomal RNA (446 nucleotides) under uncultured bacterium. RNAcentral describes it as "partial 16S ribosomal RNA". It matches the Rfam family "Bacterial small subunit ribosomal RNA", at positions 338 to 795 of the family's 1533-position model. The record is from RNAcentral.